GGUUUCCUGCGCAACGUUAAUCGACGCAGGGUUAGUCGGUCCCUAAGGCGAGGCUGAAAAGCGUAGUCGAUGGAAAACAGGUUAAUAUUCCUGUACUUCUGGUUAUUGCGAUGGAGGGACGGAGAAGGCUAGGCCAGCUUGGCGUUGGUUGUCCAAGUUUAAGGUGGUAGGCUGAGAUCUUAGGUAAAUCCGGGAUCUUAAGGCCGAGAGCUGAUGACGAGUUGCCUUUAGGCGACGAAGUGGUUGAUGCCAUGCUUCCAAGAAAAGCUUCUAAGCUUCAGAUAACCAGGAACCGUACCCCAAACCGACACAGGUGGUUGGGUAGAGAAUACCAAGGCGCUUGAGAGAACUCGGGUGAAGGAACUAGGCAAAAUGGCACCGUAACUUCGGGAGAAGG
Molecule: ribosomal RNA, 397 nt
Filed under: Pseudomonas sp. H9
Lineage: Bacteria; Pseudomonadati; Pseudomonadota; Gammaproteobacteria; Pseudomonadales; Pseudomonadaceae
Description: partial 23S ribosomal RNA
Rfam family: Bacterial large subunit ribosomal RNA
Source: RNAcentral